Long non-coding RNA from Physeter macrocephalus (sperm whale), 304 nucleotides. RefSeq lists it as uncharacterized. The record is from RefSeq and is a predicted model, not a curated record. The transcript has 3 exons. NCBI's taxonomy places the organism in Eukaryota, Metazoa, Chordata, Mammalia, Artiodactyla, Physeteridae.
CUGAAGUGAUGCCAACACCAGCACGUUGUUUCUUGGGACCAGAGACACCGGCACAGCAUGAGAUCAUGUCUGUCCCGUUACAUGAAGCAAAAUGAAAAAGGAGGAAGCCGGAAGUGGACUGGGGGUGGCAUGAAGGCAGCAAGUAACCUUAGUAUGGCAGAGCGAAGGUAGCAUGGAAGGAUAUCCAGGCCCAUCGGAAGGAGGGCUGUGGGUUUAAAGGGCUUUGGCAAUGGGAUCCCAGUUCCAUCCUCAGAACCAGGAACAGAUUCCUGUCCUACUGCUCCAUUCCUCCCCUCUCUGUCUC